AUGGCGCCGUCACCCCGCGCCAAGUCUUCGCGCGCGCCGGAGCCCUGUGCAGUUGCCUUCCUGCAUGCCCGCAGCCUUCCUCGCUCUGUCUUGAGCGCCUCGGUGCCGCACCUCGCUCGCCUCCGCCUCCUCGCCAUGGCCCCUCACAACCGCUCCUCUGCCUCGCGUCGCCUUUUUCACUCCCCUGCAUCAGCCCCAGAGAUCACCGCUGCCGGAAAUCGCCAGGUCCGGCGACCCCUCGUCCAGCGGGACCUCUCCUUCAUUGCCGGCCUUCGCCGUGCGCGACGCCGCCUCCCCUGCCUCGCACCAAGGCCGAAGCCCGCCACUUCGUCCUUUGCCGCCCCAUGGAGGCAUGAGCCAUCGACCUCGUCGGGCCUCCUCCUCUGUUCCGUGCCGCAGCCAAACUAUGGUUCGAGAGGAGCUCGAUCCCAAGCACCUUUCUGUCCGUCCAAGCCGCCGUCAUGUCCAUGCUGUAGCCCUGCAUCGUCUUUCCUUGCUCAGCAGCAGCUCGUCAUCUCCAGCGCUGCCCCUGCCCGAGUCAAGUGCCAUCAAGCCCCUGAUGGAUGUGACAAGUCCCCGACAAGACCCCUUUUUUGUCCAGUUCAGCUACACGGCUAUGACCAUAGAUUUGGACCGCAAGUGGCAAGUACCCCACCGACAAGACCACACGGACGCCCGAACGACUACGCGGAUUCACCAAGUACACCUUCGUCAAGAUCGAUGCCCGAACAAGCACCGUUUGCGUGGAUUACGUCAAGUUCAACUACUUUGACUACGAACGGUGACGACCCCGAACAUCUACGGACGUGUAUGACUAUCGUUGCCGAAGAACCGAGGGUCACAAAUGCCGUGAACAACUACCGUCGCCGAAGACUUAUGAACCAAAAACUUCAAGUUCGACUACCGUCACAAGGACGAGACCGGCAAGUCCGAAGACCCCAAGUACCACGGCAACCUCGAAGAGAUUCAAGUUCGUCAUGUUCGACUACUGAUAAACAUGUACCACUACCGUCGCCGGGAUCGCGAGAACCUCUACCGUCGACCCUAGAGCAUGCAAGAACGACUACUUCCACUACGAAUGUCCCGAAAACGUCUACUUCCCCUACACCGCAUCGAACUCGAACCGCUCCGAUAAUGCACGCUUCGAAGCUUGCAGGUGCCGAUGAGUCCGUGCAGAUGACGCAACCAAGCUCAGGAGGAGCUCGAUGA
Molecule: ribosomal RNA, 1209 nt
Filed under: Triticum aestivum (bread wheat)
Lineage: Eukaryota; Viridiplantae; Streptophyta; Magnoliopsida; Poales; Poaceae
Description: partial small subunit ribosomal RNA
Source: RNAcentral